RNAcentral lists this ribosomal RNA (1446 nucleotides) under uncultured organism. Its description in RNAcentral is "SSU rRNA". It matches the Rfam family "Bacterial small subunit ribosomal RNA". The record is from RNAcentral.
GGAUGAACCCUUUCUACAGGCUUAACACAUGCAAGUCGAGGGGCAGCAUGGUCUUAGCUUGCUAAGGCCGAUGGCGACCGGCGCACGGGUGAGUAACACGUAUCCAACCUGCCGUCUACUCUUGGACAGCCUUCUGAAAGGAAGAUUAAUACAAGAUGGCAUCAUGAGUCCACAUGUUCACAUGAUUAAAGGUAUUCCGGUAGACGAUGGGGAUGCGUUCCAUUAGAUAGUAGGCGGGGUAACGGCCCACCUAGUCUUCGAUGGAUAGGGGUUCUGAGAGGAAGGUCCCCCACAUUGGAACUGAGACACGGUCCAAACUCCUACGGGAGGCAGCAGUGAGGAAUAUUGGUCAAUGGGCGAGAGCCUGAACCAGCCAAGUAGCGUGAAGGAUGACUGCCCUAUGGGUUGUAAACUUCUUUUAUAAAGGAAUAAAGUCGGGUAUGCAUACCCGUUUGCAUGUACUUUAUGAAUAAGGAUCGGCUAACUCCGUGCCAGCAGCCGCGGUAAUACGGAGGAUCCGAGCGUUAUCCGGAUUUAUUGGGUUUAAAGGGAGCGUAGAUGGAUGUUUAAGUCAGUUGUGAAAGUUUGCGGCUCAACCGUAAAAUUGCAGUUGAUACUGGAUAUCUUGAGUGCAGUUGAGGCAGGCGGAAUUCGUGGUGUAGCGGUGAAAUGCUUAGAUAUCACGAAGAACUCCGAUUGCGAAGGCAGCCUGCUAAGCUGCAACUGACAUUGAGGCUCGAAAGUGUGGGUAUCAAACAGGAUUAGAUACCCUGGUAGUCCACACGGUAAACGAUGAAUACUCGCUGUUUGCGAUAUACUGCAAGCGGCCAAGCGAAAGCGUUAAGUAUUCCACCUGGGGAGUACGCCGGCAACGGUGGAACUCAAAGGAAUUGACGGGGGCCCGCACAAGCGGAGGAACAUGUGGUUUAAUUCGAUGAUACGCGAGGAACCUUACCCGGGCUUAAAUUGCAGAUGAAUUACGGUGAAAGCCGUAAGCCGCAAGGCAUCUGUGAAGGUGCUGCAUGGUUGUCGUCAGCUCGUGCCGUGAGGUGUCGGCUUAAGUGCCAUAACGAGCGCAACCCUUGUUGUCAGUUACUAACAGGUUCUGCUGAGGACUCUGACAAGACUGCCAUCGUAAGAUGUGAGGAAGGUGGGGAUGACGUCAAAUCAGCACGGCCCUUACGUCCGGGGCUACACACGUGUUACAAUGGGGGGUACAGAGGGCCGCUACCACGCGAGUGGAUGCCAAUCCCAAAAACCUCUCUCAGUUCGGACUGGAGUCUGCAACCCGACUCCACGAAGCUGGAUUCGCUAGUAAUCGCGCAUCAGCCACGGCGCGGUGAAUACGUUCCCGGGCCUUGUACACACCGCCCGUCAAGCCAUGGGAGCCGGGGGUACCUGAAGUGCGUAACCGCGAGGAGCGCCCUAGGGUAAAACUGGUGACUG